Molecule: ribosomal RNA, 464 nt
Filed under: uncultured Glomus
Lineage: Eukaryota; Fungi; Glomeromycota; Glomeromycetes; Glomerales; Glomeraceae
Description: SSU rRNA
Rfam family: Eukaryotic small subunit ribosomal RNA
Source: RNAcentral
AGCAGCCGCGGUAAUUCCAGCUCCAAUAGCGUAUAUUAAAGUUGUUGCAGUUAAAAAGCUCGUAGUUGAAUUUCGGGAUCAGUAUGUUGGUCGUGCUUCGGUACGUACUGUCAUUACUGGUUUCUACCUUCUGAAGAACCUUGAUGUCAUUAAUUUGGUGUCUUGGGGAAUCAGGACUGUUACUUUGAAAAAUUAGAGUGUUUAAAGCAAGCAUACGCUUGAAUACAUUAGCAUGGAAUAAUGAAAUAGGACGUUUGAUUCUAUUUUGUUGGUUUCUAGGAUCGACGUAAUGAUUAAUAGGGAUAGUUGGGGGCAUUAGUAUUCAAUUGUCAGAGGUGAAAUUCUUGGAUUUAUUGAAGACUAACUACUGCGAAAGCAUUUGCCAAGGAUGUUUUCAUUAAUCAAGAACGAAAGUUAGGGGAUCGAAGACGAUCAGAUACCGUCGUAGUCUUAACCAUAAACUA